UCGCUUCGAGACCAUAAUAUUGAGACAAUGCCCAACAACAAUGUUGAACAGAAGUUUGAGAUGGUUGAAGAAGUCCUGGGCGGUAGUGAAAUGCGGUGGGCGCGGUGGGCGUAGUGGCCAAUUGGUCUUGUAAGUCAUGAGAGUCUUGAUUUACAACGGGCUGUGUCAUUUCAGCCUUUACCUCGUCCUUGUUCUUCUCCUCAUUUGUCUUGUCCUUUUCCUUGUCCCCCUCCACCAUUUGUUCACCUACCAACCUUGCCAGCUUCUCAUUCAGCGCUUCCUCCAAUUGAUCAACUCGCUUGAUGAAUGGGUGCUUUGUUUCCACCAACAGUCCAUGGGUCGGGUUAUCUCGAAUCUGUAAUAGUUCCUGCCACUUAUAGCUUGCACGAAAAAAGUUGGCGAAAUAAUCCGACGGCAGAUAAUGCAAGUUGUCCAUAGUGCGCCCAUAGAUGUAGAGCGCUGUGUUUCGUGUAUGUCCAGCCUG
This is a non-coding RNA of Schizosaccharomyces pombe (fission yeast), 484 nucleotides long. The record is from the annotation of a GenBank genome assembly. NCBI's taxonomy places the organism in Eukaryota, Fungi, Ascomycota, Schizosaccharomycetes, Schizosaccharomycetales, Schizosaccharomycetaceae.